AGACCUACCAUUUUAGCGGCUACACCAAAAGGAAAAUAUAAGUCAACAUCGAGGUCGCAAUCUUUUUUUUUAAUAAGAACUCACAAAAAAAAUUACGCUGUUAUCCCUUUGGUAGCUUGUUCUAUUAAUCAAAAUUAUUGGAUCAAAAUUUAUAAAGGAAGAUCUUUUUUUCCUUAGUCGCCCCAACUAAAUUAAAAAUAAUUAAAAAAAAAAUUAAUUAAUUAAGCUCAAAAGGGUCUUCUUGUCCCAUUUUUAAAUUUUAGCUUCUUCACUAAAUAAGCAAUUUCUUUUUAUAUUUUUAAUAAAGCAAAAAUCUUGUUUUUUCUUUCAUCAGCCCCCAAUUAUGAAGCAAAUGAUUAUGCUACCUUUGCACAGUCAAAUUACUGCG
Molecule: ribosomal RNA, 388 nt
Filed under: Prostoma sp.
Lineage: Eukaryota; Metazoa; Nemertea; Enopla; Monostilifera; Tetrastemmatidae
Description: partial 16S ribosomal RNA
Source: RNAcentral